Molecule: transfer RNA, 76 nt
Filed under: Alphaproteobacteria bacterium MarineAlpha3_Bin4
Lineage: Bacteria; Pseudomonadati; Pseudomonadota; Alphaproteobacteria
Description: tRNA-Val
Rfam family: tRNA
About the family: Transfer RNA (tRNA) molecules are approximately 80 nucleotides in length. Their secondary structure includes four short double-helical elements and three loops (D, anti-codon, and T loops).
Source: RNAcentral
GGGCGGUUAGCUCAGUUGGGAGAGCAACGCGUUUACACCGCGUAGGUCGGCGGUUCGAGCCCGUCACCGCCCACCA